This 295-nucleotide ribosomal RNA is filed under the name Heterosigma akashiwo. Its description in RNAcentral is "partial Eukaryotic large subunit ribosomal RNA". It matches the Rfam family "Eukaryotic large subunit ribosomal RNA", at positions 654 to 947 of the family's 3401-position model. The record is from RNAcentral. Lineage: Eukaryota; Raphidophyceae; Chattonellales; Chattonellaceae.
UUGAAACACGGACCAAGGAGUCUAACAUGUGUGCGAGUUGGCGGGUUGGGAAAACCCGCGAGGCGCAAGGAAGCUGACUGGCGAGAUCCCCUCUCGGGGGGUGCACCGCCGACCGACCCUGAUCUUCUGUGAAGGGUUCGAGUGCGAGCACACCUGUUGGGACCCGAAAGAUGGUGAUCUAUGCCUGAAUAGGGCGAAGCCACGGGAAACUCUGGUGGAGGCUCGUAGCGAUACUGACGUGCAAAUCGUUCGUCUGACUUGGGUAUAGGGGCGAAAGACUAAUCGAACCAUCUAG